Molecule: non-coding RNA, 397 nt
Organism: Paramuricea clavata
Lineage: Eukaryota; Metazoa; Cnidaria; Anthozoa; Malacalcyonacea; Plexauridae
Source: the annotation of a GenBank genome assembly
UUUGGCACCAAAAUUUGAAAAAUCAACGGUAAUCAACAGUAUUUUUGACCUUUGUAAGCGUUUGUCUGACUAUAUCAUGCUUUGGUGAGCUUUUAUAUUGAUAUUGAAUACUAAAAGUGGUUAAUUUUAGAAGAAAUGAACACUAUACAUCCGUAAAUGUAAGUUUAUGAAUCUAUAGGAUUCGAUAGAGAUGAUGGAAUACAUGUAUGUUCAAAUUCAUCAAUUUUAAUUUGCUUCUUCCAACUUCGAAUUUUUAGAGGAUAAUUCGAAACCGUAUUGUGAUCCAGCCGGGAAAAUUAAUCUAUUUGUUGUGAAAGAACCAAUAUUCUACCAUGCAGAGUAGAAUGAAUUCGGAAAAGGCAGAAGCACUUUUGAAAUGGGUAAGCACAAGAUAAAA